GCCCAACUAGCUCAGUCGGUAGAGCAUAAGACUCUUAAUCUCAGGGUCGUGGGUUUGAGCCCCACAUUGGGUG
This 73-nucleotide transfer RNA is filed under the name Pongo abelii (Sumatran orangutan). RNAcentral describes it as "tRNA-Lys (CTT) (tRNA-Lys-CTT-9-1)". It matches the Rfam family "tRNA". Rfam says of the family: Transfer RNA (tRNA) molecules are approximately 80 nucleotides in length. Their secondary structure includes four short double-helical elements and three loops (D, anti-codon, and T loops). Further hydrogen bonds mediate the characteristic L-shaped molecular structure. tRNAs have two regions of fundamental functional importance: the anti-codon, which is responsible for specific mRNA codon recognition, and the 3' end, to which the tRNAs corresponding amino acid is attached (by aminoacyl-tRNA synthetases). tRNAs cope with the degeneracy of the genetic code in two manners: having more than one tRNA (with a specific anti-codon) for a particular amino acid; and 'wobble' base-pairing, i.e. permitting non-standard base-pairing at the 3rd anti-codon position. The record is from Rfam by way of RNAcentral. Lineage: Eukaryota; Metazoa; Chordata; Mammalia; Primates; Hominidae.